RNAcentral lists this ribosomal RNA (450 nucleotides) under uncultured bacterium. RNAcentral's name for it is "bacterial SSU rRNA". It matches the Rfam family "Bacterial small subunit ribosomal RNA", at positions 29 to 518 of the family's 1533-position model. The record is from RNAcentral.
AACGAACGCUGGCGGCAGGCCUCAAACAUGCAAGUCUAGGGGGUGUAGCAAUACAUCACCGGCGGACGGGUGCGUAACACGUGGGAAUAUACCUUUUGGUUCGGAACAACGCAGGGAAACUUGCGCUAAUACCGAAUGUGCCCUUACGGGGAAAGAUUUAUCGCCAAAGGAUUAGCCCGCGUAGGAUUAGCUAGUUGGUGAGGUAAUGGCUCACCAAGGCUCCGAUCCUUAGCUGUUCUGAGAGGAAGAUCAGCCACACUGGGACUGAGACACGGCCCAGACUCCUACGGGAGGCAGCAGUUGGGAAUCUUGGACAAUGGGGGAAACCCUGAUCCAGCCAUGCCGCGUGAGUGAUGAAGGCCUUCGGGUUGUAAAAACUACUUUCGACGGGGACGGAUAAUAGACGGUACCCGUAGAAGAAGCUCCGGCUAACUUCGUGCCAGCAGCCGC